CAGAGUUCAUGCCCUUCGGGGUAGAUCUCCCACCCUAUGUAUUUAUACCUUUGUUGCUUUGGUGGGCCGCGAGGCUUCGGCCUGGCUACCGGCUCCGGCUGGUAAGUGCCCACCAGAGGAAAUCAAACUCUGAAUGUUAGUGUCGUCUGAGUACUAUAUAAUAGUUA
RNAcentral lists this unclassified non-coding RNA (167 nucleotides) under uncultured Helotiales. Its description in RNAcentral is "sequence contains ITS1". The record is from RNAcentral. Lineage: Eukaryota; Fungi; Ascomycota; Leotiomycetes; Helotiales.